Long non-coding RNA from Uranotaenia lowii, 643 nucleotides. RefSeq lists it as uncharacterized. The transcript is spliced from 3 exons. NCBI's taxonomy places the organism in Eukaryota, Metazoa, Arthropoda, Insecta, Diptera, Culicidae. The record is from RefSeq and is a predicted model, not a curated record.
GUGUUUGCUCCAAAACUAUGAAUAUGGUUAUUUUUCAAGAAUUUUUCUAUGUCAAAAUUCAACCAUUUAUCAAGUUCUGGUGUAUAAACCACAAAAUGGAUGAAAAAUUUUACGUUUUUUCUACGCCAUAUUGGAAGCUACCGUGGAGUGAACCGAAAGUGUUUCGGAUUUAAUUUGUUCGCACAAGGCUGGAGAGAUUCUUAAGUGCACCAAUUGGACGAAUCUGUGGCAGUCCGGUUCCAGUUCCAGCACCUAAAGCGGGGCUAUAACUUACUUCCGGAACGAGCGCACAUAUAGUGAUUCAAAAACUGGCCCUCCCGACCAUUCUCCAUAACAUUCGGUUGAAGCUGAGAUGGGUAGACAGUCCAAAAAACUCCACCCACCGGAGUGGAAUUGCGUUCAACAUAAGAGUCUGUGCUACAGUUGCUUCAUCCGGAACCUCCCAGAUGCAUUAACACAAAGCAGAAAAAAGGAACCGCCUGACGAAAUGCCGUUUUUGGAAAAACUCCCUUGUCAGCCAGUCGUCCUCGAAAUAACUAAUAGCAUCGUUGACGAAAAUGUUAUUCUCAAGAAUGAAAUCCGUCCCCAGAGCGUCUCGCGACAACUGGUCCGCAUAAUCGUUCCCCGGAAGCUCGAUAUGUCC